UCGCUGAGAAUUCGAACCAGCGGUGGCGU
This 29-nucleotide non-coding RNA is filed under the name Bombyx mori (domestic silkworm). The record is from RNAcentral. Lineage: Eukaryota; Metazoa; Arthropoda; Insecta; Lepidoptera; Bombycidae.